GACGAACGCUGGCGGCGUGCUUAACACAUGCAAGUCGUACGGUAAGGCCCUUUCGGGGGUCCCCGAGUGGCGAACGGGUGAGUUACACGUGAGUAACCUGCCCACAACUUUGGGAUAACGCUAGGAAACUGGUGCUAAUACUGGAUAUGUCCUACUGCUCCAUGGUGGGGGUUGGAAAGCUCCUGCGGUUGUGGAUGGACUCGCGGCCUAUCAGCUUGUUGGUGGGGUAGUGGCCUACCAAGGCGGCGACGGGUAGCCGGCCUGAGAGGGUGACCGGCCACAUUGGGACUGAGAGACGGCACAGACGCCGACGGGAGGCAGAAGUGGGGAAUAUUGAACAAUGGGCGCAAGCCGGAUGCAGCAACGCCGCGUGCGGGAUGACGGUCUUCGGGUUGUAAACCGCUUUCAGCAGGGACGAAGCUUUUUGUGACGGUACCUGCAGAAGAAGCACCGGCUAACUACGUG
This 465-nucleotide ribosomal RNA is filed under the name uncultured bacterium. RNAcentral describes it as "partial 16S ribosomal RNA". It matches the Rfam family "Bacterial small subunit ribosomal RNA", at positions 28 to 507 of the family's 1533-position model. The record is from RNAcentral.